AUGCAAGUUCAAGAAGUAGCAAUCUGCAAGAGAGUUGUUUUUCGUGCUAACAAACCCGUUAUCUGUUAUGCUCCAUUAACCCGGGAUAAGAAGUGAAUAGCGAAUCUGAACCACGUCUACAAUUGCAAUGACACAGAGGCUUUGUGGGUGCUAAGAAUGAGAAGAGCACCUUUUUUCAGGCUUGUGCGGACGUUCAAGAGCAGGCGGUUGCUAGAAGAUAGCAUCAACACCAGUGUGGAAGAGCAAGUUGCCAUGUUCCUCCAUGUUGUCGGUCAUAACCAGAGGUUUAGGCUUAUCCACAACAAGUUCAGGAGAUCAAUGGAGACCAUUUCCAGGUACUUCAAGGAAGUGUUGUAUGCUAUUGGGGAGCUCAGAGGUGAGAUGAUCAAGUCACCAACCGUCCUUACUCCUAGCAAGAUUCGCACUAGCUCAAAAUGGUAUCCAUAUUUCAAGGUGAGCAUUGACAAUAUAGUUCAUGCCUUGACAUGCUUGUAUUGCUCUUCUAUAGCCAUAACACCAUCUUUUCAUGCCAUUUCAGGAUUGCAUUGGGGCAAUAUAUGUUACACAUGUCACUGCUAG
RNAcentral lists this ribosomal RNA (579 nucleotides) under Triticum aestivum (bread wheat). RNAcentral describes it as "partial small subunit ribosomal RNA". The record is from RNAcentral. Lineage: Eukaryota; Viridiplantae; Streptophyta; Magnoliopsida; Poales; Poaceae.